RNAcentral lists this ribosomal RNA (440 nucleotides) under uncultured bacterium. Its description in RNAcentral is "partial 16S ribosomal RNA". It matches the Rfam family "Bacterial small subunit ribosomal RNA", at positions 338 to 795 of the family's 1533-position model. The record is from RNAcentral.
CCUACGGGUGGCAGCAGUGGGGGAUAUUGCACAAUGGGGGGAACCCUGAUGCAGCGACGCCGCGUGGGUGAAGAAGCGCCUCGGCGCGUAAAGCCCUGGCAGCAGGGAAGAAAAUGACGGUACCUGAAGAAGAAGCCCUGGCUAACUACGUGCCAGCAGCCGCGGUAAUACGUUGGGGGCAAGCGUUAUCCGGAUUUACUGGGUGUAAAGGGGGCGCAGACGGCGAUUCAAGCCAGGAGUGAAAGCCCGGGGCCCAGCCCCGGGACUGCCCUUGGAACUGCGUGGCGGGAGUGCAGGAGGGGCAGGGGGAAUUCCUGGUGGAGCGGUGAAAUGCGGAGAUAUCAGGAGGAACACCGGUGGCGAAGGCGGCCUGCUGGACUGCAACUGACGUUGAGGCACGAAGGCCAGGGGAGCGAAAGGGAUUAGAUACCCGAGUAGUC